UAAACGGUUCUUUUAAGGACCACAAUAAUUUUAUAAACGUAGCG
Molecule: non-coding RNA, 44 nt
Organism: Trichomalopsis sarcophagae
Lineage: Eukaryota; Metazoa; Arthropoda; Insecta; Hymenoptera; Pteromalidae
Source: Rfam